GACGAACGCUGGCGGCGCGCUUAACACAUGCAAGUCGAACGGAAAGGCCCUGCUUUUGUGGGGUGCUCGAGUGGCGAACGGGUGAGUAACACGUGAGUAACCUGCCCUUGACUUUGGGAUAACUUCAGGAAACUGGGGCUAAUACCGGAUAGGAGCUCCUGCUGCAUGGUGGGGGUUGGAAAGUUUCGGCGGUUGGGGAUGGACUCGCGGCUUAUCAGCUUGUUGGUGGGGUAGUGGCUUACCAAGGCUUUGACGGGUAGCCGGCCUGAGAGGGUGACCGGCCACAUUGGGACUGAGAUACGGCCCAGACUCCUACGGGAGGCAGCAGUGGGGAAUAUUGCACAAUGGGCGGAAGCCUGAUGCAGCAACGCCGCGUGCGGGAUGAAGGCCUUCGGGUUGUAAACCGCUUUCGCCUGUGACGAAGCGUGAGUGACGGUAAUGGGUAAAGAAGCACCGGCUAACUACGUG
Molecule: ribosomal RNA, 468 nt
Filed under: uncultured bacterium
Lineage: Bacteria
Description: partial 16S ribosomal RNA
Rfam family: Bacterial small subunit ribosomal RNA
Source: RNAcentral